This is a long non-coding RNA of Felis catus (domestic cat), 3926 nucleotides long. RefSeq lists it as uncharacterized. The transcript has 3 exons. NCBI's taxonomy places the organism in Eukaryota, Metazoa, Chordata, Mammalia, Carnivora, Felidae. The record is from RefSeq and is a predicted model, not a curated record.
CGCCCCUCCUUAUUAAUAUUAUAAAUAAAUACAGUAGUCUUUAUGCAAUAAUGUUUACGUGCAUCUGCUUUGUGCACAAUAGCAACAUGCAUCCAGCUCUGAGAAAACAGGGGUGUGCACAAAUAGCUCAGGCGUGUGGCCAGACGGACCUGCUGUGGCUCCUGCUAGCUGUGUGACCCUGAAACGGUGACAGAACGUCUCUGGGCCUCAGCUUCCUACCUCUGACAGGACAUCACGGGAAGGCAAACAGGGACGGGGUAGUCCCUGGCACCUGCAGCCUCUGUAAAGCCCGCUGCAUUUGAAUGCAGAGAGCAAGCCAGUCCAGGAAGAGGAAAGAGGUCAUACGCACAUCAGGGGCAAAAUCCAUCAGGACCGAAGAAUACACAGGACGAUUUCCUCUUUCCCACCUCUGACCCCAGCCGCCGAGCCCCGUCCUCAGCAGGAAAUGGACGUUGUUUCCACUUCUCGGUGCCCGAAGCAUAUUGCGUUGCAUGGAUGGGCCCUCGUGGAUGCUACUAUAUCCCUGGCCGGUCUUCGGCCACGAUAAGUGAUGCCACAUGGACGUCAUGUGCACAAAGGCAAGUCUGUCUGAGACAGGGUCUCCUUUCGGGGUCGAAUGGCGUGUGCAGUUUAAAACUGUGAUCGUCCCUAUAGCUGUCACCAGAGCACAUUCACGUCAGUAACGUGCGAGGGAAGGUGAGACCCUCAACUCGCCGCCCAGGAGACUCAGACACACCCAUGCCUGAGAGCCAGGACCCCUGAGCCAAGUGCUACUCUCUGGCGUCCGAAUUCCCGGAGCGGCCUCCUCCUGAAGGCGGCCCCUGCAGCCACGGAAGGAGGAGGGGUCAAGGAGCAGCACGGUCCAGCUAGCUGUACCCUGUCACAUACGAUCAACCAAGAGGAACCUCUCUGCCGGCUGCUGCCUUUCCCGGGACCGGGGCUUGGCUGCGGGAGUGACGUGGGUGCCCGGGGAUUUGCUGCCGGUCAGGACAUCCCUCCCUCCAAGGUGAGCGUCCGGGACUAGACGCCCCGGGAGGGCCUGGCCGGGGCUGGCGACCGAGCCACCUUCGGAGCUGCCCGAGCAACAUCGGUGGUUUAUAGCAGCUCUACCUGGUGGGGACGGAAAGGAACUAACUUCUCCAGGGUCACAGCUGACGUGUCCUCGGGAAGUGGCCACAACACUUUUAUCCUAGUAAGAAGUAUGUUUCCUAUUUACAGAUGAAAUGCUACAAGAUCUGAAAUUGGUCUCAAGGCAACCCGAAGGGACCGAUGGCGUGGGCGGGUGUGUGGGCAACACGAGGUCGGCCCUGACCCGAUGACCACUGGGUCUGUGCGAUGGGUACACGGAUUCAUCACAGGCUCAUCUCCACUUUGGAGUACCUUCCAAACUUCCCGUCAUUAGAGGUUUCCAUAAUGGUUCUGCCUAAAACGCGGAGAUGGUUACACAGACCCCGAUCCGUUUGCCUGUUUUAAAAACGUGUUGCAGGGGCAGCUGAGGAUGUAAAGGGCCUCGUGCACCUGAACUAGAAGCUCUUUGCAGGUGCUGGCCCCCACCCCCAGACGGGAGAACACGCCCCCCCGGUUCAUCUCCCAAAGACGAAAACCCAUCGCAGACUCUCCUGACGGCAUCCGGGGCCCUCGAGUUGGCUAAAAAAUAUUUCAAGGUCUCUGAGUAAUUUAAUGCCCCAUGAAAGUAAAAUAAAUUGUGUACAAAUAAUUCAAUAAGCUCGGGGAAGUGGGGAAAAAAAAAAAACAUUAAGCAUGUCACAGAUGGUACCCCUAGGCAGUUUAUCAAAGCGAGUUUCAUAAUUUAACAAAACCAUCUUGGCAUCAGACACAAAAGUCCUCCUGUUUGAUCCCUUAAUAACACUGCUUAGCACUUUCUGGGGAACUGGCUUCUAGCAGUGGAGCUGUUUCCAAGCAUUAGCUAAUCAAUCAUCAAAAGAUAUUUUCCACGCAGGCAGGCAGGACUCCAUUCACAGCUCACUUGACCCCCACGGAAGGGGCCUCGGAAGCUAAGAGGCUUUCUCAAGGUCACGCGGGGGGCAAAGGUCACAGCGGGGGUUGCAGCUAAUGAGUUUCUGGUUUCUCCUGUGCUCCUGAGGACGCCCGGGCCCCCUGGUCCCCUCCAGAGUCACCGCGGGGCCCCGCCCGUCUGGCCGGAAUGCCAGCGGCAGCUCCCCUCCCGGCCUUCAUCGGGGACACGAUCAGGGACACGGCCGCUCAUCAAAAUAGACCAGUGGAGUCAUCGUCACCUCGCCUGCCCCUGGAUCUGGAAGUGGGCUGCGGGUACGUUCUCUGCUGUAGGACAGAAAGCCUCGCUCGGGGCUGAAUAUCACCGGAACUGUACCCCCGUCCGCCUGAUUUUUGCUCAGCAUCUCACAUUUGUUUAGGGAACGAAAUAGUUUUAAAUUUCAGAAAUCAUCCGUGCACAGGUUGAAGACGCAAACGCCACAGAAGAGCUUAAAGGUAAAAGAAAAAUGCCAAAUACAGCACGCGGCUCUUCCCCUCCGGGAGGGUCUUCCCAGGCCCCCUCCCUACACUCGAGGUGGGGAUGCGGUACGGAGGUCACUUCUAAGGACAGAGGAGGAAAGGGACCAGCAGGGCCUUGAAGCCAAGGCACCUUCAGGGACCGCCUUGGCCUGGUGAUCGCGGUGACCAGGUGGGCGUUGGGGACCCUUGAAGGACACAAAGGGAAGCCGCGGCUGCGGCAUGCUCUCCCCCAAGCCCGGUCGGAUCUCGAGAAAAGCCAUCAGACAGACCCCAACUGCGGGACACUUCCCAGCAUCCCUGACCAGCACCGUUCAACACCGUCAGCAGAGGUCCCGGAAAAUGGAAAGUGGAGAGGCCCACAGACCGGAGACGCCCAAGGACACAGACGUGACGCCGUGUGCUUGCGGGGACAGAUGGGGCGUUGGCGGAAGGCUGGUGGCUUCUGGAGAGAGCCUGGGGCGGAGAUCAUGGUGACGCUCCAUCGUGCUGUGACAAGUGUCCCGUGGUGAUGGCGGGUGGCCGAUUUGGGGAGGUUGAAAUGGGUGAGGGACACAGGGAACAUCUUUGAAAACAAUGAAUGCACUUUGGUUUUUGGAGCCGUUUUCCGUUCGUAGCUUCUCUGCACGGCCUUGUCAGGUUUACCGUAAAUCAAAAUUUCUCCAUAAAAAGGUUAGUCAAAACAAAAUUAAGGGUAAAAAUCCUCCGCCACCCUCCCUGGAACAUUCUAGAAUAUUCUUCCAGAAUUCUGUGGCACAUAAACGGGUCUUUUUUUUUUUUUUUAAACCAAGGCUGACCCCUACCAUACCUGCUUUUGGCUUCUUGCCUUCUUCAUUUACUCUGUAUCUGGGAGGUGUUUUUCUAGAGCAACUUGUCUGGUCCUCCUUGUUUUUAACUGUCUGCAGGCCAUGUACUUCAGCAUGUUCCUGUCCUUUAUUUCUCUGGGUCCCGGCAGGUGCACCAGCUGGUUUGGUGAUUCUGCCUCUUGUAACAACAUUACCAGCGUGCCCAGGAAGAAGUCAAUAAACACAAGAAAGAAAAGCCUCAGCUUUACUCAUAAUCUGAAAACCAAAGUGCAGAUGAGAUCAGCAUAUCACUUUUGGUCUGUUGGACAAGCUCUAGGCCCCGGGGGGGCAGGGGGUGGGUACGGGAGGCAAACUUAUUUGCGCCAGGGGGUGUGACUGUGGUGAGUCCUAGCGUGCGGCCGGUAGGAACGCAGUUCGCGGCGGGGUGAGCAGUGACUCGGGGACCCUUGAAGAAACAGGCAGUGGCCCCCUCCAUGCAGAGGCUCCCCCCACCCCCCAAUUAAGACCAACCUUUAUUUGGGCUGCUCUUUGAUAAAGCAAAGCCUCCUCUGGUGUUCCCCAUAUUUUUUUUUUUCUGGCUUCUGUGUGUCACACAAGCCUUUUACAUUAUUAAUAAAAGUUUUGAAUUGA